GCCUCACUCAGGGGGUUAAAGGAUCCAGCAUUGCUGUGGGCUCAGUGUAGGCUGCAGAAGCUGCUCAGAUCCUGAGUUGCUGUGGCUGUGGUGUAGGCCAGUAGCUAUAACUCUGAUUUGACCUCUAGUCUGGGAACUUCCAUACGACACAGAUGCAGCCCUAAAAAGCAUAAAUAAAUAAAUAAAUAAAAAUAAUAAACCCACUUCAUCACAUGUUAACAUAAAUCGCAUUCUUAUGAUUAUUUUUUCUAGCCCCUCUCCCUCGAUUUAGUGAGAAGAGUGGCAUUCUUUCACACUUUUGCAAACCUUCUUAAUGAAUGACUUAAUAGAAGGCAGCUGAGCCCUAAGAGCUGCUUUUUGCAACGAUCUGUGGCAAACCUGCAUGCCAUGUAGCCUCUACAAGACUCCAUAGUCUCUCCUAAUAGGUAGAAAGUUAAAAAGGCAGAUCAUUUCUUAGUAUUAUUGACUUUGACUUUGCAGACUUUCUGAGAGAAUCUCAGAGAUCUCCAGGGACCACUCUUUGAGAAAGGCUGGUCCAGAAAACUCCUUGGCUGACAUUAAACAGAAAAAAACAUGAGGUCUUAACUAUUAACCACUGAACAAUUGAUUUAAAGGAAAAGAAUGCUGCUCUGUGAGGGGAGGUAGACACUGAGCCCGGCCCUGUUGGGGGGUAGGAGGAGGCGGAUUCCUUGAGGAACUGAUGUUAGAAGCUGGGCCCUGAAAAGAGUUAACCAGGUGAAGAUGGGGGUGGGGUUGGGGGGAGCCCUCCCUUCCUUCAGUCUGUUUGCUAAGGAAACUAGGUAGACAGGAAAACCAUCCUGGAGAAUGGAAGGCGGCAGGUGCUACUCUGUUCUCGGAGAGUGAUGAGACCCAGCACUCACCAAACACAUACGGUGAGUCUCCCACAUUCCAUGGGACGUAUCUAGUUCACUGAACCUCCCAGUAGCCCUGUGAGAUAGCUCACUGAUCACCCCAAUCUACAGAUGAGAAACUCAAGCACAGAGAGAUCUUGCCGCUGACCCACAGUCACAGUCAGGAAGGAGGGGGAGCAGGCAUUAAUCCCAGGUGUGGCUUCUUAAGAUUCGGCGCCUUGAACCUUAACAUUUCACUGCCUUGAGCUUCGAAAUGACGUGAAGAGUUCGUUUUUUGAAAAGCAUCUGUGUAGCUGCCCAACAUCACUAAGCAUUAGGGAAAUGCAAACCAAAACCAGGAGACACCAAGUCACGCCCAUCAGGAAGGCUACUAUCCAAAAACAAAACCUGGAGUUC
This 1268-nucleotide long non-coding RNA is filed under the name Sus scrofa (pig). RNAcentral describes it as "lncRNA (ENSSSCG00015039774.1)". Lineage: Eukaryota; Metazoa; Chordata; Mammalia; Artiodactyla; Suidae. The record is from RNAcentral.